UCCCCGAAACGGCGAAACCCGAGGAAUCGGGUGGCGCAAAGCACGGGACCCUACCCCGACGUGUCGGGAGGGUUGCCCGGCUGCCGAA
Planctomycetes bacterium DG_58 is the source of this 88-nucleotide non-coding RNA. The record is from Rfam. NCBI's taxonomy places the organism in Bacteria, Pseudomonadati, Planctomycetota.